RNAcentral lists this non-coding RNA (200 nucleotides) under Oscillospiraceae bacterium. RNAcentral's name for it is "6S RNA". It matches the Rfam family "6S / SsrS RNA". Rfam says of the family: E. coli 6S RNA was the first non coding RNA to be sequenced, but its function was unknown until recently. It consists of 184 nucleotides that fold into an extended hairpin structure with a large single-stranded internal bulge. Lineage: Bacteria; Bacillati; Bacillota; Clostridia; Eubacteriales; Oscillospiraceae. The record is from RNAcentral.
AUAUGCCUGCGGUGUGCGAUAAAUGCGGCUAAUACUAACCCUAUGUCACUUUAAAGGGAGUCCGGGCUUCUUCGGCGGAUUGCAGACCUCCCGAAUGCGGCAUUGACCGUUUUCGGACGAAGGGAGCGUGAACCCGAGGAGAGGACACCCACCUGCUUAUACGCAGGUUUUUAUUACCGCAUCCGGCAUUGUGGGUUAAA